ACUUAUAGCAAUUUGGUAAAUGAUACUUUUAUAAGUAAAAUUGAAAUAUUUAUCUUUUUCUCUCUACCUGAUCCCUCGAAUUUAGAAACUCUUAGUAAGUAAAUAUUGUUGUUUUCAUGGCAAUAUAGUUAUUUGCAUAAGUUCAAUAAGAAUCUGUUCUCCUUAUAACAGGACACAAUUGGAAACACUGGUUAUGUUACCAAGGUUGUAACUGGAACAUCAUAUUUGCGAUAUAACCCUACAGCUUUUGAGGAAUGAAGAUUUGACUUUAUGGAAUAAAGCCACGUGGAAAUAUUGGCCUGGUACCUUAUGUUCCAAGCAGCACUUACCAGGAUAAGUAAAGAAUGUCACUUAUCUGGCAGGUACAAGGAACCGCGAAAUAUUUUGGGGGAACCUCAGAAGAGAGGAAUUCACCCAAAUCUGUAGAAUCACUAAAAACUGAACCUGCCCUUUUUCCUGAAGCCUUACAAACUAAAGCUGAUGGACUUGAUACUAACUUAAGAGAUUACUUGAUGACAUCAUCAGAGACAUUUUAAACUGCAGAAGAUGCUUUGACGCUGACAUCUAAAAUUCUUCUUCACUGGCUGUCCUCUGAACUCAAAAACUGCUUUACAACUUGCUCCAACCAUUAACCUUGUUUUUCUUUUGUUUACAUAGAAAUGCUUCUAUUAAAUACUUGAUUGCUUGCUUCCAUAAUAUAGGCGUAACCUUGAGAGCCCA
Molecule: long non-coding RNA, 720 nt
Organism: Diceros bicornis minor
Lineage: Eukaryota; Metazoa; Chordata; Mammalia; Perissodactyla; Rhinocerotidae
Exons: 2
Source: RefSeq, a predicted model, not a curated record